UCCAAGGCCCCUGCGCAUCUCAUGCACUGAAUUUCAAUUUCAUUAAAAAAUAGAUCAUAGGAUCUAAAUUAAACUUGUCACACAAGUCUAUAAACCAUGAAAUUUCAUAUCCAAGAUUUGAUCAUGAAUCGAUAAUACUUUAUCAAAAAUAAAAAUACAUCAAAAUCAACUAGACGUAAGCCCUAAGAAUUUCGAGCUCAAUAGGAUAAGAAAGCUCCAGAGUUGAACCG
RNAcentral lists this long non-coding RNA (230 nucleotides) under Elaeis guineensis (African oil palm). RNAcentral describes it as "long non-coding RNA (EGUI_LNC010049)". The record is from RNAcentral. Lineage: Eukaryota; Viridiplantae; Streptophyta; Magnoliopsida; Arecales; Arecaceae.